This 22-nucleotide microRNA is filed under the name Drosophila melanogaster (fruit fly). RNAcentral describes it as "dme-miR-2492-5p". The record is from miRBase by way of RNAcentral. Lineage: Eukaryota; Metazoa; Arthropoda; Insecta; Diptera; Drosophilidae.
UUGGGAUCUCUUUAUAAAGCGU